GUCAUAGGCACAAGCAGCCUCCUCAGCCGUGUCAAAAGUGCCAAGCCAACGUCUUUCUUUGGACUGAGGGUCCCUAAUCUCUGCUGCAUAGCGACCCCAAGGUCUCCGACGAACCCCACGGUACCUCAUGGUCCCACCUGAGCCACCACCACUUUCUUUCAGUGACCUCUUGUUCGUGGUGGUGGUGGAGGAGGCAGAGGCAGCUGCUGCAGCUCCAUUAGUGCUCUUUUUGUGGUUGUCGGUG
RNAcentral lists this unclassified non-coding RNA (244 nucleotides) under Hevea brasiliensis (rubber tree). Lineage: Eukaryota; Viridiplantae; Streptophyta; Magnoliopsida; Malpighiales; Euphorbiaceae. The record is from RNAcentral.